This 253-nucleotide ribosomal RNA is filed under the name uncultured bacterium. RNAcentral's name for it is "partial 16S ribosomal RNA". It matches the Rfam family "Bacterial small subunit ribosomal RNA", at positions 524 to 776 of the family's 1533-position model. The record is from RNAcentral.
UACGUAGGGUGCGAGCGUUAUUCGGAAUUACUGGGCGUAAAGCGCGCGCAGGCGGUUCGUCGCGUCCGAUGUGAAAGCCCCGGGCUUAACCUGGGAAUGGCAUUGGAAACUGGCGGGCUGGAGUAUGGCAGAGGGGGGUGGAAUUCCACGUGUAGCAGUGAAAUGCGUAGAGAUGUGGAGGAACACCGGUGGCGAAGGCAGCCCCCUGGGCCAAUACUGACGCUCAGGCACGAAAGCGUGGGGAGCAAACAGG